GAUCCUGGCUCAGAAUCAACGCUGGCGGCGCGCUUAACACAUGCAAGUCGCACGAGAAAGGGGCAACCUGAGUAAAGUGGCGUACGGGUGAGUAACACGUGGAUCAUACACCUUUUAGUGGGGAAUAACUUUGGGAAACCGAAGCUAAUACCGCAUAAGCCCGAGAGGGGAAAGCAGCAAUGCGCUGAAAGAGUAGUCCGCGGCUGAUUAGCUAGUUGGUGAGGUAAUGGCUCACCAAGGCUUUGAUCGGUAGCCGGCCUGAGAGGGCUCACGGCCACACUGGCACUGAAACACGGGCCAGACUCCUACGGGAGGCA
RNAcentral lists this ribosomal RNA (317 nucleotides) under uncultured Acidobacteriota bacterium. RNAcentral describes it as "bacterial SSU rRNA". It matches the Rfam family "Bacterial small subunit ribosomal RNA", at positions 15 to 350 of the family's 1533-position model. Lineage: Bacteria; Pseudomonadati; Acidobacteriota. The record is from RNAcentral.